Molecule: non-coding RNA, 740 nt
Organism: Ictidomys tridecemlineatus (thirteen-lined ground squirrel)
Lineage: Eukaryota; Metazoa; Chordata; Mammalia; Rodentia; Sciuridae
Source: RefSeq, a predicted model, not a curated record
CAAAGCCCAGGAAGGAGUGGGCAGGGUGCGGUGGGGGCAGACCUCUCUGAGAACCCCCACAAGGGAGAUGCUCCCUGUACAGAAGCCCUCAGACCCAGGCCCCUCGGCCUGCAGAACUUCCCCCUCCCAGGGCAGGGAUGAGAGGGGCAGAGCCAGGGAGGCCCAGCGAGCCCCUUCAGUAUGCUGCAGCUGCCCUGUUUCUGGAGCCAGCGCCACUGUUUCCUCACUGCUUCUACUGCAGGCUGGUGAGCUCCAUAUCAGGGCAGGUCAACCACAGCUCCUUUGAACAAGGAGUACUCCCCCAACAGGAGCACUUUCUACCCCUCGCACAGGUGGUGGAGCCAGGAUUCAAGCUUGGAAGGGAUUAAUUACCCAGGAAAGUGUCUGAGAAAUGGAAGAUGCCCCGUGAAUGGGGUUAAACUCCAUCUGUGUACGUGACACCUCUACUGGGACAAGCCUGCCACAGGUCAGAAGACUCAUCAGCUCUGCUCUGGGAGCAGGUGUGAUGUGAAGGGGCUGGGGGCAGGGCAUGGUGGUGGGUGAGGCGCCUGCUCAUCCCCUCUGGGUUAUUCCAAAGGCCUCCCUGGAUCCCCUGCACCAGCCUGGCCAUCCUCUCCUUCCUCCAUCCUUCUUCCCCAUUGUUGUAGGUGUCUCCCAAAUGGAAUCUAAUUCCCUUGCCUGAGACACUUCAAUGGCUUCUUCAUGCCCUUGGAAUAAAGGCUAAAUUCAGAAAAAUGUUA